GCAUUACUGGUCUAUUGGUACGAUUGUUGCUUGCCAUGCAAUAGAACCGGGUUCGAUUCCCGGGUAAUGCA
RNAcentral lists this transfer RNA (71 nucleotides) under Spraguea lophii 42_110. It matches the Rfam family "tRNA". From Rfam's summary of the family: Transfer RNA (tRNA) molecules are approximately 80 nucleotides in length. The record is from Rfam by way of RNAcentral. Lineage: Eukaryota; Fungi; Microsporidia; Spragueidae.